Molecule: ribosomal RNA, 295 nt
Filed under: uncultured marine eukaryote
Lineage: Eukaryota
Description: partial 18S ribosomal RNA
Rfam family: Eukaryotic small subunit ribosomal RNA
Source: RNAcentral
CUAAAAAGCUCGUAGUUGGAUUUCUAGAUGAGAGGAGUGGUCCACUCUAUGAGUGUGUAUCUACUUCCGCUCGUCUAUCCGCUCUGCAUACGUGUCUGCGCUUGACUGCGUGGCGCGGAGGUAGGGCCUUUUACUUUGAGGAAAUUAGAGUGUUCACGGCAGGCAAUCGCCUUGAAUAUAUUAGCAUGGAAUAAUAACAUAGGAUCUUGGUCCUAUUUUGUUGGUUUCUAGGGCUAAGAUAAUGAUUAAUAGGGACAAUUGGGGGCAUUCGUAUCGCGGUGUCAGAGGUGGAAUU